Long non-coding RNA from Gracilinanus agilis (Agile Gracile Mouse Opossum), 710 nucleotides. RefSeq lists it as uncharacterized. The record is from RefSeq and is a predicted model, not a curated record. NCBI's taxonomy places the organism in Eukaryota, Metazoa, Chordata, Mammalia, Didelphimorphia, Didelphidae. The transcript is spliced from 4 exons.
AAGGAAGCAAAAUAACUUCUCUAAAGUCCAUUUUUGAACCAGUUUGAUGAGCAUCUGGGAUCCUAAAUUCCUUGGGACUUGGAACUAAAUUUCCUUCAGGGCAACUUGUGACAGUUUCCGAACAAACAGAUGAAGGAGCUAUUUUACACCCCUUUUGCAGAAGACAAGAUUAAAGCAUCAAAGAAAUGAAGAGAAGUAAAUUGCCAAAGUGCUCUUCCCAGAGACUCUACUGGCUGCCAUGGUUCCAGACAGGGGAGCUCAACAUGUUAGCAGACAGACUACCAAGACACGAAAGGAGGCAGGAAUCAAAUAAAAGGAAGAGGCAGGAGCCACAGGGGUUAACGUGGUGCUCCAUCAGCACUCUGAGUACAAAUGAUCAAGGUAGAGCCAGAGAACCCGAGUUCAAAUCUUGCCUUCGUCACUUACAACCUCAAUGACCUUGGGCAAACUACCUAACCUUACCCGAGUCUCUGACUCCUCACCUGUAAGAUGAGAAGGAUGGAUGAGCUGGCAUCUAAGAUCUCUUCCAGCUGUAGGUGAAUGAUCUUAUGAUUGACUCGGCCAUGUGGCCCAUCAAUCAGUCAACGAGGAUUAACAACCAGAUGUGCACAUCAUCGGGGAUAGUUACUCUUUACCGUUAGUUUGCUUAAUUGUUUUUAAGAAGUAUGCUUAAUAGAGAAACGCAGAAGAAAACAACUGCUUGAUCACAU